CUGAGAUCUGCUGGGAAAUGGGGCUGUAGUAGGGCAUAGGAGCAGUGGUGUGUGUGAGUGGUGCAAUGUGUAAGGGGUGCAGUGUGUGUGUGAAGGUUGUAGUGUGUGAGUGAGGGUGGCAGUGUAUGUCAGGGAUGCAGUGUAUGUGUGGGACAGUAUGUGUGUGUAACAGUUGCAGUGUGUGUGUAUGGGGGGCAGUAUGUGUGUAUGGGGGAGCAGCGUGUGUUUGUGUGUAUAGGGGCAGUGUGUGUGUGUAUGGGGGGCAGUGUGUGUAUGUGGGGGCAUUUUGUGUGUAUGAGGGGCAUUUUGUGUGUAUAGGGGGCAGUUUGUGUGUAUGGCGGGCAGUGUGUGUGUAUGGGGGACAGUGUGUGUGUAUGAGGGGCGGUUUGUGUGUAUGGGGGGUGGGAGUGUGUGUGUAUGUGGGGAUGUGUGUAUGUGGGGCAGUGUGUGUGUGUAUGGGGCGGUGUGUGUGUAUGUGGGGUGCAGUGUGUGUGUGUAUGUGGGGGCAGUGUGUGUGUAUGUGGGGCAGUGUGUGUGUGUGUAUGUGGGGGGGGGGCGGUGUGUGUGUAUGUGGGGUGGCAGUGUGUUUGUAUGGGGGCUAGUGUGUGUGUAUGGUGGGUGGUGUGUGUGUAUGGGGGGUAGUGUGUGUGUAUGGGGCUGUGUGUGUGUGUAUGGGGGCAGUAUGUGUGUAUAGGGGCAGUUUUGUGAAUGGGGGCAGUUUGUGUGUGUAUGGGGGCAGUUUGUGUGUAUGGGGACGUAUGUGUAUGGGGGCAGUAUGUGUGUGUAUGAGGGGCAGUGUGUGUGUGUAUGGGGAGACGGUAUGUGUGUAUGAGGGGCAUUUGUGUGUAUAGGGGAGACGGUUGUGUGUGUGUGAGACAGUUUGUGUGCAAUAUGGGGACGGUGUGUGUGUGUAUGGGGGGGCAGUGUGUGUAUGUGGGGAUGUGUGUGUAUGUGGGGCGGUGUAUGUGUGUAUGGGGGGCGGUAUGUGUGUAUGGGGGACGGUGUGUGUGUGUAUGGAGGGCGGUGUGUGUGUAUGGGGGCGGUGUGUGUAUGUGGGGGGCAGUAUGUGUGUAUGGGGGCAGUGUGUGUGUAUGGGGGCAGUGUGUGUGUAUGGGGCAGUGUGUGUAUGGGGGGGCAGUAUGUGUGUAUGGGGGGCAGUUUG
This is a non-coding RNA of Pelobates cultripes (western spadefoot toad), 1162 nucleotides long. Lineage: Eukaryota; Metazoa; Chordata; Amphibia; Anura; Pelobatidae. The record is from the annotation of a GenBank genome assembly.